CUACGGGGGGCAGCAGUGGGGAAUAUUGCACAAUGGGCGCAAGCCUGAUGCAGCCAUGCCGCGUGUAUGAAGAAGGCCUUCGGGUUGUAAAGUACUUUCAGCGGGGAGGAAGGGAGUAAAGUUAAUACCUUUGCUCAUUGACGUUACCCGCAGAAGAAGCACCGGCUAACUCCGUGCCAGCAGCCGCGGUAAUACGGAGGGUGCAAGCGUUAAUCGGAAUUACUGGGCGUAAAGCGCACGCAGGCGGUUUGUUAAGUCAGAUGUGAAAUCCCCGGGCUCAACCUGGGAACUGCAUCUGAUACUGGAAAGCUAGAGUCUCGUAGAGGAGGGUAGAAUUCCAGGUGUAGCGGUGAAAUGCGUAGAGAUCUGGAGGAAUACCGGUGGCGAAGGCGGCCCCCUGGACGAAGACUGACGCUCAGGCGCGAAAGCGUGGGGAGCAAACAGGAUUAGAUACCCCGGUAGUC
Molecule: ribosomal RNA, 464 nt
Filed under: uncultured bacterium
Lineage: Bacteria
Description: partial 16S ribosomal RNA
Rfam family: Bacterial small subunit ribosomal RNA
Source: RNAcentral